AUUGAACGCUGGCGGCAUGCCUAACACAUGCAAGUCGAACGGUAGCACGGUCUAGCUUGCUAGAUGGGUGACGAGUGGCGAACGGGUGAGUAACGCGUAGGAAUAUGCCUUGAAGAGGGGGACAACUUGGGGAAACUCAAGCUAAUACCGCAUAAGCUCUUAGGAGGGAAGCUGGGGACCGCAAGGCCUGGCGCUUCAAGAAUAGCCUGCGUCCGAUUAGCUAGUUGGUGGGGUAAAGGCCUACCAAGGCGACGAUCGGUAGCUGGUCUGAGAGGAUGGCCAGCCACACUGGAACUGAGACACGGUCCAGACUCCUACGGGAGGCAG
RNAcentral lists this ribosomal RNA (327 nucleotides) under uncultured Pseudomonadota bacterium. RNAcentral's name for it is "bacterial SSU rRNA". It matches the Rfam family "Bacterial small subunit ribosomal RNA", at positions 30 to 351 of the family's 1533-position model. Lineage: Bacteria; Pseudomonadati; Pseudomonadota. The record is from RNAcentral.